AAUAAAGUGCCUGAUAAAAAGGAUUACUCUGAUAGGGUAAAUUAUGUAAAAAAUUACCUUUAUUA
This 65-nucleotide transfer RNA is filed under the name Kallima inachus (orange oakleaf). RNAcentral's name for it is "tRNA-Ile". Lineage: Eukaryota; Metazoa; Arthropoda; Insecta; Lepidoptera; Nymphalidae. The record is from RNAcentral.